RNAcentral lists this ribosomal RNA (253 nucleotides) under uncultured bacterium. RNAcentral describes it as "partial 16S ribosomal RNA". It matches the Rfam family "Bacterial small subunit ribosomal RNA", at positions 524 to 776 of the family's 1533-position model. The record is from RNAcentral.
GACGAACCGUGCGAACGUUGUUCGGAAUCACUGGGCUUAAAGGGCGCGUAGGCGGGCCACCAAGUCAGGGGUGAAAUCCUGCGGCUCAACCGUAGAAGUGCCUUUGAUACUGGUGGCCUUGAGGGAGGUAGGGGCGUGCGGAACUUCCGGUGGAGCGGUGAAAUGCGUAGAUAUCGGAAGGAACACCGGUGGCGAAAGCGGCGCGCUGGACCUCUUCUGACGCUGAGGCGCGAAGGCCAGGGGAGCGAACGGG